Papaver somniferum (opium poppy) is the source of this 551-nucleotide long non-coding RNA. RefSeq lists it as uncharacterized. The transcript has 2 exons. NCBI's taxonomy places the organism in Eukaryota, Viridiplantae, Streptophyta, Magnoliopsida, Ranunculales, Papaveraceae. The record is from RefSeq and is a predicted model, not a curated record.
ACCCACUGUCGCAAAAAUGCGGGCGCGCCCAUAAAUUUCACUUUUAUUAUUACCAAACCCAUCUUUUCUUUAUGGUGAUUUAUUUUUUCCUUUAGUGGAUAUUAUCCCCUCUGGUUCACAGAGACAAACAGAGAAAUAAAGGAAUAGGAAGAGAGAAAUCCGGGAUUAACUUCAACGGGGCGACUGAUUCAUGUCGUGGGAUGUCAUGUUUCAACCAGUGCAUUUGGUAUCAAUUUGAAACAUUGAUAUAUUUGCUCGAGUUGGAGAAAUCAAAACAUAUAUGACUGUCAUCCAUAUGUAGCUGAGUUAUGUUGAUUCCUAGCAAUUACCACGAGGUAGACAAAUAAUUCAGUUCUCCCCAUUCAAAUAAUCUGACAUGACUUUGUUGUGUUUUGAGUACUCAUAUAUUGAGGCUUAUUGCAAUGGAGUUGCACUUCGAUUUAAUUAUUUGUGUUUAUAUGUCUGUGUGGAAAGUGGGAAGGGGUUUGGAUGGGAUUUGGUCGUGUACGUUAACUUCGAUUCAUUUUAUUUGUUGAGGAUUUGGUUGUGUA